This 677-nucleotide ribosomal RNA is filed under the name uncultured marine archaeon. Its description in RNAcentral is "bacterial SSU rRNA". It matches the Rfam family "Archaeal small subunit ribosomal RNA", at positions 321 to 999 of the family's 1478-position model. The record is from RNAcentral.
CCCUAUGGGGUGCAGCAGGCGAGAAAACUUUGCAAUGUGCGAAAGCACGACAAGGUUAAUCCAAGUGAUUUCUGCUAAAGAAAUCUUUUGUUAGUUUUAAAAACACUGAUGAAUAAGGGGUGGGCAAGUUCUGGUGUCAGCCGCCGCGGUAAAACCAGCACCUCAAGUGGUCAGGAUGAUUAUUGGGCCUAAAGCAUCCGUAGCCGGAUCUAUAAGUUUUCGGUUAAAUCUAUGCGCUCAACGUAUAGGCUGCCGGAAAUACUGUGGAUCUAGGGAGUGGGAGAGGUAGACGGUACUCGGUAGGAAGAGGUAAAAUUCACUAAUCUAUCGAUGACCACCUGUGGCGAAGGCGGUCUACCAGAACACGUCCGACGGUGAGGGAUGAAAGCUGGGGGAGCAAACCGGAUUAGAUACCCGGGUAGUCCCAGCUGUAAACAAUGCAAGCUCAAUGAUGCAUCGGGUUGAACCCGGUGCAGUGUUGCUGGGAAGCCGUUAAGUUUGCCGCCUGGGAAGUACGUACGCAAGUAUGAAACUUAAAGGAAUUGGCGGGGGAGCACCACAAGGGGUGAAGCCUGCGGUUCAAUUGGAGUCAACGCCAGAAAUCUUACCCGGGGAGACAGCAGAAUGAAGGUCAAGCUGGAGACUUUACCAGACAAGCUGAGAAGAAGUGCAUGGCC